GCCCGCCUGGCGGAAUGGUAGACGCAGCGGACUUAAAAUCCGCAGCCGGUAACGGCGUGGGGGUUCAAGUCCCCCGGUGGGCA
This 83-nucleotide transfer RNA is filed under the name Acetobacteraceae bacterium. RNAcentral describes it as "tRNA-Leu". It matches the Rfam family "tRNA". From Rfam's summary of the family: Transfer RNA (tRNA) molecules are approximately 80 nucleotides in length. The record is from RNAcentral. Lineage: Bacteria; Pseudomonadati; Pseudomonadota; Alphaproteobacteria; Acetobacterales; Acetobacteraceae. RNAcentral also lists the same sequence under 3 other names.